UUUAAAUGUAAAUAAAAAUACCAAAGUAGUAGUAGUUAUGUUCUUUAAAUUUAAAGAUUUUGGCGGUAUUUUAGACUAUUCAGAGGAACCUGUUCUGUAAUUGAUAAUCCACGAUUAAUUAUACUUGAAUUAUUAAUUUGUAUAUCGUCGUUUAUAAACAAUUUUAUAAGAAUAUAAAUUUUUUAAAUUUUUAAUUAAAAAAUAUAUCAGAUCAAGGUGCAGUUUAUGUUUAAGUAGAAAUGGGUUACAAUAAAUUUAUUUAAAUGGAUUAAUAUAUGAAAAAUUAUUAUGAAGGUGGAUUUGAUAGUAAUGAAAUUUAAUUUAAUUUUAUGAUUUUAGCUCUAAAAUAUGU
This 352-nucleotide ribosomal RNA is filed under the name Coptotomus lenticus. Its description in RNAcentral is "partial 12S ribosomal RNA". The record is from RNAcentral. Lineage: Eukaryota; Metazoa; Arthropoda; Insecta; Coleoptera; Dytiscidae.